This 114-nucleotide ribosomal RNA is filed under the name Saccharomyces cerevisiae S288C. RNAcentral describes it as "ES27 OF THE 25S RRNA from Saccharomyces cerevisiae S288C (PDB 4V8T, chain 1)". The record is from RNAcentral. Lineage: Eukaryota; Fungi; Ascomycota; Saccharomycetes; Saccharomycetales; Saccharomycetaceae.
GUAGUGAGGGCCUUGGUCAGACGCAGCGGGCGUGCUUGUGGACUGCUUGGUGGGGCUUGCUCUGCUAGGCGGACUACUUGCGUGCCUGUUGUAGACGGCCUUGGUACUUGCUAC